UGGGGAAUUUUGGACAAUGGGCGAAAGCCUGAUCCAGCAAUGCCGCGUGUGUGAAGAAGGCCUUCGGGUUGUAAAGCACUUUUGUCCGGAAAGAAAUCCUUGGCUCUAAUACAGUCGGGGGAUGACGGUACCGGAAGAAUAAGCACCGGCUAACUACGUGCCAGCAGCCGCGGUAAUACGUAGGGUGCAAGCGUUAAUCGGAAUUACUGGGCGUAAAGCGUGCGCAGGCGGUUUGCUAAGACCGAUGUGAAAUCCCCGGGCUCAACCUGGGAACUGCAUUGGUGACUGGCAGGCUAGAGUAUGGCAGAGGGGGGUAGAAUUCCACGUGUAGCAGUGAAAUGCGUAGAGAUGUGGAGGAAUACCGAUGGCGAAGGCAGCCCCCUGGGCCAAUACUGACGCUCAUGCACGAAAGCGUGGGGAGCAAACAGGAUUAGAUACCCUGGUAGUCCACGCCCUAAACGAUGUCAACUAGUUGUUGGGGAUUCAUUUCCUUAGUAACGUAGCUAACGCGUGAAGUUGACCGCCUGGGGAGUACGGUCGCAAGAUUAAAACUUAAAUGAAUUGACGGGGUCG
This 573-nucleotide ribosomal RNA is filed under the name uncultured bacterium. RNAcentral's name for it is "partial 16S ribosomal RNA". It matches the Rfam family "Bacterial small subunit ribosomal RNA", at positions 355 to 921 of the family's 1533-position model. The record is from RNAcentral.